Molecule: long non-coding RNA, 5344 nt
Filed under: Salmo salar (Atlantic salmon)
Lineage: Eukaryota; Metazoa; Chordata; Actinopteri; Salmoniformes; Salmonidae
Description: lncRNA (ENSSSAG00000099865.1)
Source: RNAcentral
GCUAUAUACAGGGGGGUACCAGUACAGAGUGAAUGUGCGGGGCACCGGUGUCAAGGUAGUAUGUACAUGUAGGUAGAGUUAUUAAAGUGACUAUGCAUAGAUAAUAGCAAAGGGUCUGAAUACUUAUUUUUUAUAAAUCUGCAAAAAUGUCAAAAUCUGUUUUUGCUUUGUCAUUAUGGGGUAUUGUGUGUAGAUUGAUGAUGAUAUUUAUUUAUUUAAUCCAUUUUAGAAUAAGGCUGUAAUGUAACAAAAUCCGAAUGCAUUGUACAGUAUAUGCCAUAUACUGCCACCAUGUGGUAGUGGAUGGUACUAAAACAUGUGGAUAAAAACAAACAUUUAGGACAAGAUUAAAAGAUUCAUUUAAAUUACUUUUAUUUAUUAAGUUUACAAAUAAAGUAACAAAUAUAUUUUAUUGGAGCGCAAAGCGCAGUUUUAUUUGAAGCUUGAACAGCCUCUACUUAAUGCAGAACAGUUAACCGCUGCCAAUGAUUCCUAACAGGUUGCGCUUGGUUUUCCAUUUUAGUAUUAUUCUAAAACAUUCUGUACAAUGUUAAACAGCAUGAGGAAAAACCAAUUCAUUAAGUCACUAGAUGUUUCUUGAGACAAAAUCACAAAACAAAAAAUUCUGAUAAGUAGUACAAAACAAAAUACUUUAAAUCACCUUGAAUUGUUUUGUUUUUGUGAGGGUGGCUGUGUACACGUUUUGAGUUGUUUUGUGGUAAUAACUUUACAGUAUAAUAAGCGGUGAUGAAAAGGUAACAUGCCAGAUGUUAUCUAGAGAAACAAGCUCUUUAUUCAACCACUUCUGUGUCAGUCAGACGAAUGGUGAAUUGAAUGACAUUCCAACAUUUUAUGUGCACUUUGCAGGACAUAAAUCAGUUACAAGAAGGCAAAGGAGGAGUUGUAUUGUAACAGUAACAAGGAAAAGAACAGGAGAAGUAGCAGAAUCGAUCGGUAUUCUGAAUGAUGCUAAAAUUAAUAUUAUUACACUUUGUAAAAUCUGUAACUUCCCUCCUCUCAAACUAUGUAAAUGUAGCUCUGGUCCAGGGCGUGGUUCGGCUACUCUCUCACGACAAUGAUCCUUUGGAGCACAGAGCUGGACCAGAGCUAGUGUAAAUGUGUUCAUCAGAGGAGGUCUUCAGUUUCACCACUGUAACCUCACCAUAACCUGUUCACCACUGUAACCUCACCAUAACCUGUUCACCACUGUAACCUCACCAUAACCUGUUCACCAUUGCAUGUUAUGCAUUGCAGCCACUGUAUCAUACAGUAUGACACUUAGUUAAGAGGAAGUAAACAUUGUAAAUAUUGCUCAGUAUUCUUUAGAGUGAGCAGAUGUUCAUGUAGCUAAAGUCAUUACUGCAUGGUAAUGGCACUGAGGCAGUGGCAUUGGAAAGGUUUUAUUUGUUUUUCAAAAGUAUCCAUCAUCAACAAAAUAACUAAGCAAAGUGUAUUUUUGUCACGUUCACAGCUUCAACCAAACUUGCUAAGUACUGUACUGAGGGCCUCCGGUAAGUACGAAAAGUUCAAUCCACAAAACAGGCAAAAGCAACGUUUUACAAAGGACCCCCCAACUGUUUUUAACAAUUUUAAAUGGUUGAGAAUCUACCAUAUCUUUUCAAGUGAUUUCCCGUAGCGGACAUGUUUACAGUGAGUAGAGACUGAAGCGGUAAGCAGAAGGCGAUAGAUCUAGCAGUCCUUGUAAGCUAAUCAGUAGUUAAGGUGACGAGUGUUUAUUAGAAAUAACUUUUCUACGGUAUUCACUUUUAAACAUGUUUGACCCCAGGUAAUGGUUUGUACAGCUGCUUUGAGAAGGAUGUGGGGCUUAAUGAACUAUUCUGGUGUCCACAGAUUGGACCAGUUUUACUGUCUACAACACUGUCAGGUAACCAGAAAGAAACACUGUUCAUCAUUACAACAUUUUGUAAGGUUUCCAAAAAGACCAGAAGGACAUCGACCAAAAACUAAAAUAUCCAUGUCAAAAAACUGUAAUAAUGAUGGAACCAACCAUUCAUUUCUUUGCAUUGUGAGUGGUGAGACUGUCUGCUACUUUACAAUAAGCUACGAACCUGCACUAAAAGCCACAGGUGGUUUCAUUAGAGACUGGGGCAGCAUUAAGCAGAUGAUGAAAUAACUGGGCUUGAACCCCCAGCAUUGCAUUGGCGAUGAGGAAGUCACUUGUUGGUCAAACCCAGUAGCACAGUGUACAGUACUACCGCCAUGUGUUGGAGAUAGAGAUUCCCCUGACCUCUCCUCUUCUGCCUCCACUAGCUCUGGCUUCUACCUCAACUCCACUUUCACUUUACCCACCUUAAAUGGCAUUGGGCUAAGUCACACCUACUACGUCUCAAAUGGCGCCCUAUUCCCUAUUUAGUGCACUACUUUUGACCAGGGUCCAUAGGGCUCUGGUCAAACGUAGUGCACUAUAUAGGGAAUAUGGUGCCAUUUGGGGGACACAGCCUAAGACUGCCCCACUGACAGUAGACACACAUUAUGCCUGGUUAGUAACUAUACAACACCACAAUCUGGUUUUAACUCUUGAGACAUUCACACAAAUACCGUUUCUCACUGACUAACUUUCUCUUCUCCAUUCCUAUCCUUCUACCUCUUUCUCCCCUCUCUCACCACCAACACGAGGCUUGUAUACCGUGCUGCCUGGUGUCGGACACACACAAGGCUUCGUGGACAGGCCAUCAAUAAAGAUAGCCUGAUUGUUGUAGUGGGUCUAAUGAUAGGCUCAGUGCUAGCUAGAGAGCUCUGGCAUAGUGACUGACUGGUUCUAGUAUCUGAAACGUGUCCCCAGAACACUAGAACAAACAGAACGGCUAACGGAACAGUCAAGCAUUCCAUUCUUAACAGACCCUUUAUUUGAAAUGUUAGGUAACCCUGGUUCAGCCUCACUCUGUUCUGUUGUCUGCGUUCAUUUGUUCCUUUCAAAUACAGAGUUGUCCAAGCUUCAACAACUUUUUAUUAACCAUCAGGUCCAUUCCUACUCUCUGCAGUCUACGACUAAGUUUGUCUGUCCCCCCCAAAUCAAAUGUAUUUAACCCGAAUACUAAAAAAAUAAAUGGCACAAAGAAAAAGGAAACGAGUUACCCUAGCCCACCUUCCCCCCUUCCCAGUGUACCUUUUUGACCUUUGUACCCACAGAGCCAGUAAAGCACUUCAACGAAGCACAAAUCAACAGCACUUCCGUUACUCCAUCAUGUCAAAAAAACGGUUAAAAAAAAAGCAAAAUAAAUAAUGGAAGGCACUAGAAACUCCAGCAGAGCUCUCACUGGAGUACUGGGGGGCGAAAGGAGACAGAAAAGACCAAGGGCAAGUCCUACAUUGCACCUUAUUCCCUAUAUAGUGCACUACUUUUGACCAGAGCCCCAUGGGCCCUGGUCGAGGUCCAUCGGCCCCUGGUGAAAAGUUGUACACCAUGUAGGGGAUAGGGUGUUAUUUGGGACUCAACCCCAAGUUACUAUUCAAGUACGUUAAUUGAGUCCAUUUAACAUUCACAUUUAUCUAAUAUAAAGAAAGUAGAAAGAGAAGAAAGGUUAAAGUGACUUGGAUAAGUACUGGAUAAGGAAAAUAGCUAGCCUUUUACUUUGUAUUUUUUUCAGCCUAAGUAUUACCAAUCCACCAUAACGUUUCCUCCAACUGUCUUUUUUUCUUCUUAAACUCAUGUUGUCCAACAACAUUUAGAAUAAUCACAGUGUUUCAACAUCAAAAACUGAUGGGUAAAUACAGGUCCAUACAGAACACAUCUUGUCUUCUUUUUUUAAAUAGAAUAAUAAUAAUGUACAUUUUUGUUUUCAAUCACACUAUUGAAAAGACUCAGAAGUAGAGAGAUCGAGGCCCCUAAUGCUGUCAACAUCAUGAUUAUAAAAGCUGUUAUGUUACUAUUAGAUCAUAGGUUUGAAAGCUUCACAAGCCCUCCUCAGGACAGACAGCGUUGUGUUGCUGGAGAUCCAAGGCUUUACUUACAACCAUCAUACCAUCCCCCAUGCAGCCUGCCUCCAGCCCAGCCCACGUCCAGUCCUCCCCCUGCCCCACCGAGACCUCUCCUUCUCUGGGUCCACGCAGGACCAACACCAACCCACCUCACAACCGUGAAAACAAUCUCAUGUGUGACACAGAGCCAACAGGACAUACCUCCCUCCGUUCGCCCUGCACUCCCUCUCAGAGCUAAACCACCUGUGAAAAAGAAGGCUAUUGAGUCUGAGAGGGUCUACUUCAGUCAACAAGUCCUGUCUGAGAGAAUCUACUUCAGUCCUGUCUGUUAGUUCAGGGGAGAUCUCUCAUUAGGGAUAUGUAGAUGAGAACCAUGGAAACUACCAGCCAGCUUAUACAGACUUUAGGCUUCAGGAUUGGGAUCUCAUUGGCCUCCCAGAUACAGCACAUUUUAGAAUGGAGUAACUAUAAGCCUGAAGUUAAGACUGGGAUAGAUGGGUCUCUCACACAGUACUCCUCUCCAAUCAGGUGAAGAGAUGGUUAGCAUGGAGAUGGGAGUUGUAGUUUCUUUAAAGGUCCUAUACUGGGAGAUGUAGUUUCUUUAAAGGCCCUAUACUGAGAGUUCCUGGAUAGGAGGGUCAACCCUAGCGUAAACCCUUUCAUCAUGCUACAGAAGGGUCUCCUCAGUUCAAUGGGGACAGAGGAAAAAAAUAAAAACACUAAUUAAACAUGGAAUCAUCAUAAACCCAAACUCUUAAAAAAAAGACAUUCUGAAUCUGGUCAUGGAUUGUUUUGUUUCCUAAUGAAGGUCACUAUGUGUUUUUAUUAUAUUUAGGAGGAGGUUUCUAUUGUGUUCUUAUUGCAUCCCAUGGCAACAGGAGGGGUAGAGUAGAGUAUGAACCCCCAGGCCUUUUCUACUGAUUCUCCACCUACACACACCAAUGUACAUCCUAAAUGAUAUAUAGGAAUAGCAGUACAUGUGGUUCCGGAUGUCAACACUGCCUGACCAGCUACAUACAUGGCACCAGUCCCACACCUCGGCCUCACAAGCUCAUUCCUUCACCCCAUAACCUUCCUCACAUCUCCUCAACAUGCUACACAACUCUACCAUAAUGGACUUCUACUGGAGCUGUAUAGUACUGUACGGUCACUUAAAGCUCUGUUCUGGAGGUCAGUUACCAGCAGGAGGAGCUGUAUAGUUCUGUACGGUCACUUAAAGCUCUGUUCUGGAGGUCAGUUACCAGCAGGAGGAGCUGUAUAGUUCUGUACGGUCACUUAAAGCUCUGUUCUGGAGGUCAGUUACCAGCAGGAGGAGCUGUAUAGUACUGUACGGUCACUUAAAGCUCUGUUCUGGAGGUCAGUUACCAGCAGGAGGAGCUGUAUAGUACUGUACGGUCACUUAAAG